GAUGAACGCUGGCGGCGUGCCUAACACAUGCAAGUCGAACGGUAACAGGCUCUGUAGCAAUACAGAGUGCUGACGAGUGGCGGACGGGUGCAAAACGCGUAAACAAUCUACCCUAGAGACGGGGAUAACCUUGAGAAAUCAGGGCUAAUACCCGAUACGAUCCCGAAGUCGCAUGACUUUGGGCGGAAAUCCCGCAAGGGGCCCUUGGAUGAGUUUGCGUCUGAUUAGCUAGUUGGCGGGGUAAUGGCCCACCAAGGCGAUGAUCAGUAGCUGGUCUGAGAGGACGGACAGCCACACUGGGACUGAGAUACGGCCCAGACUCCUACGGGAGGCAGCAGUGGGGAAUAUUGCUCAAUGGGCGAAAGCCUGAAGCAGCGACGCCGCGUGAACGAAGAAGUCCUUCGGGAUGUAAAGUUCUUUCGUCGGGGACAAUUAUGAUGGUACCCGAAUAAGAAGGCCCGGCUAACUAUGUGCCAGCAGCCGCGGUAAUACAUAGGGGCCAAGCGUUAUCCGGAUUUAUUGGGCGUAAAGCGCGUGUAGGUGGUCGGUUAAGUCGGGUGUUAAAUUUGGAAGCUCAACUUUCAUACGCGCCCGAAACUGAUCGGCUUUGAGGUCGGGAGAGGAAAGCGGAACUCACAGUGUAGCGGUGAAAUGCGUAGAUAUUGUGAGGAACACCAGUGGCGAAGGCGGCUUUCUGGCUCGUACCUGACGCUAAAGCGCGAAAGCAUGGGGAGCAAACAGGAUUAGAUACCCUGGUAGUCCAUGCUGUAAACGAUGUUCAUUAGGUGUAGGGGGUAUCGACCCCCUCUGUGCCGUAGCUAACGCGUUAAAUGAACCGCCUGGGGAGUACGAUCGCAAGAUUAAAACUCAAAGAAAUUGACGGGGGCCCGCACAAGCAGUGGAUCAUGUGGUUUAAUUCGACGAUACACGAAAAACCUUACCUGAGCUUGACAUCUGCCUGAUCCUCAUGGAAGCAUGGGGUGACCCGCAAGGGAGGGCAAGACAGGUGGUGCAUGGCUGUCGUCAGCUCGUGUUGU
RNAcentral lists this ribosomal RNA (1037 nucleotides) under uncultured bacterium. RNAcentral's name for it is "bacterial SSU rRNA". It matches the Rfam family "Bacterial small subunit ribosomal RNA", at positions 28 to 1068 of the family's 1533-position model. The record is from RNAcentral.